UCAGCUCUCACCCCGCCUUCCAGCGAGCAGCAAGCACUUGGUAAUCCAGUGUAUGGGACUGGGCUGCCGCUAUCUUCUUCCAGCUGACCACUCAGAAGUCACUACAGCUUUUCUUUUCUCUUUUUCUCGCGCUCACUCAGAUUGUGCGUUGUCGGGGUCGAAGGGGGCUUUUGUGCGGCGGUUUAGCUCGAGGAAGGAACAUGCAGCAUCCCGGAGGAACAUGCGUGGCGUUACCCAACGUGGAUGCGUGCCCUCAGUUGUCCUGCGCGGCUCUCACCUUUAUGUAUUUGCAGCAGGGUAACCAGGACACACCCACACUCUCGGACCCAUCCAUGGCCCAGACCUACACAUCAGCCCAAUUUGCUCCCCUCCCCCAAAAUGGCAUCCCCACCGAGUUCACCACUUCACACCCUCACGCGCAUCCGCAUUCCCAUCAGCACCCGGCACCUCAAGACUACUCCGGGGUCCAGGCCUCCAUCAGCGAGCAUCCGCUCAACAUGUACCAGUCCUCGCAGAGCCACGGCGAGCAGAAUGGAUCUGACACCGGCAGCCAGAGAGUCACCGGCACGGCCACACAGACAGAUGAUGCCUCUCAGACAGACAGCCAUCCACCGACACAGACUGUAUCUGAGACCACAGACAGCAAAGCCCAACCCAAAAGACUUCAUGUGUCCAACAUCCCCUUCAGAUUCAGAGACCCGGACCUCAGGCAAAUGUUUGGCCAAUUUGGCAAAGUCUUAGACGUGGAAAUCAUCUUCAACGAGCGUGGCUCGAAGGGUUUCGGAUUCGUAACAUUCGAGCAUAGUAUGGAUGCCGACAGGGCCAGAGAGAAAUUGCAUGGCACCGUGGUCGAAGGCCGAAAAAUAGAGGUCAACAAUGCAACAGCCCGAGUAAUGACAAAUAAGAAGGCUGUCAACCCAUAUGCAAAUGGCUGGAAGUUAAAUCCAGUGGUCAGUGCGGUCUACAGCCCAGAAUUCUAUGCAGUACCAGGUUUUCCCUACCCAGCAGCCAGUGCAGCAGCAGCAGCAGCAGCGGCGUACAGAGGAACCCACCUACGAGGUCGAGGACGAACAGUCUACAACACGUUCAGGGCGGCCGCUCCGCCUCCUCAUAUUCCGUCUUAUGGAGGUGUUGUUUACCAGGAUGGAUUUUAUGGUGCAGAUAUUUAUGGUGGUUACGCUGCCUACAGAUUUGCCCAGCCUGCUGCUGCCGCAACAUCUGCAUACAGUGACAGUUAUGGACGAGUAUUUGCUGCAGAUCCCUACAACCACGCACUCACUCCAGCAGCCGCAUACAGCAUUGGUGCCAUGCUGUUGGCAUGUUUCCCUGGCAUGAAGCGUCUCGCUGUCCUUGCUGCAUGACGAUUGAUCCGGUCACGGGUCUUUUCAUCCACCACGGCUUUACACCGGAAUAACGAAUACAUUCGCCCCGCUGUCAGAUGCCAAAACCCGGAGCCACGUGGACGAUGUGGGGCUUGUGCUGUCCUCUCUCCAGGCUAGUAUAUACCGGGGAGGCUACAGCCGCUUUGCACCCUAUUAACAGCGCGGCCAACCGAAACGCAACAAACGGACAGGAAGAACGUGUGUGUGUGUGUGUGAGUGUGUGUGUGCGUGUGUGUGCGAGAAUGCGAUCCGCAAGUUAAAAAGAGAGACAUUGCUGAGGCCUGGGUAUUGCAAUACGUGCAAUUAAAGCAUAAUUUGAGCAUCUCCUAAGCGAGAAAAAUAUCUAAAAACUAAAAAGACAGCUGAUAUUUUUCAUCUUAUACCUCAGAUAUUUUGUGCUGUGUAUUUUGAUAUUGUGGGUUUUUAAUUUAUCGAGAUUUAAAAAUACUUACACAUACUUUAUCAGCCAUAGAGGUUUUUUUUGUUUUUUUUUUGUCCAUGGUACUAAUAGACAAACUGUUCAUGUAAAAUUAGGACACAGAGGAAAUAUUUAUCAGAUUGUUGUACACCAAUCUUGUGGGGUUAUACUGUAUAUCAAAGUAACAUGUUUUUUGAUAGCAUGUAUCUCCUUUUUCAUACAUGCCUUUAAGUGGACAAUGUUGAGGUUGUUGUUUUUGUUUUUUAAACUAUGAUGUAUUUUCAUGCAGAGGUAAGAAGUGUUAAAGAACACUGACAUAGGCGGAAUCCUAAUUCUCCCCGUCAUCCUGCCCCCCGUUUUGUGGAAAUGCUGUGCCAAUUCUCUUAUAAGGUUAAAGAAAGGUCCAAGAGCGCGGCCGCCGCUGCUGCUCACUGCUCCCCUCACCUCCCAGGGGGGUGGAACAAGGGGAUGGGUCAAAUGCAGAGGGUAAUUUAAAGUUAAAGUACCAAUGAUUGUCACACACACACUAGGUGUAAUAAUAAUAAUAAUAAUAAUAUAUUUUAUUUGCAAAAAGCACUUUAUAUUGAGUAAGCAAUCUCAAAGUGCUACAGUGUAUUAAAAAAUAAAUUAAAAAAAAGAUAAUAAAUAAAUAAAUAAAAAUAAAAACUAGAACAGCCAAAUAGCUAUAGCUAGUAUGCACAUAUCUAUAAAAAAAAAAAGGCUUUUUUUAAAAAAAGGGCUUUUAAGCCUUUUUUAAAAGCAUCCACAGUCUGUGGUGCCCUCAGGUGGUCAGGGAGAGCAUUCCACAGACUGGGAGCGGCGGAGCAGAAAGCCCGGUCUCCCAUUGUUCGUAGCUUUGUCCUCGGAGGUUGGAGGAGGUUAGCCUGUCCGGAGCGGAGGUGUCGUGUGGCGAAAUGAUUCUCUCCAUUUGACCAUCACCCUUGAUCACCUCCUGGGAGGUGAGGGGAGCAGUGAGCAGUAGCGGUGGCCGCGCCCGGGAAUCAUUUUUGGUGAUUUAACCCCCAAUUCCAACCCUUGAUGCUGAGUGCCAAGCAGGGAGGUAAUGGGUCCCAUUUAUAUAGUCUUUGGUAUGACUCGGCCGGGGUUUGAACUCACGACCUACCGUUCUCAGGGCGGACACUCUAACCACUAGGCCACUGAGUAGGUUUUCUAGGUAAUUUCACCACACAUAGUGUGUGUGACUAUCAGUGGUUCUUUAACUUUAAGUGCCCUCAGAAUCAGAAUCAGAAAUACUUUGAUAAGGAACUGAAGUGUGGUCCCGAACACACCUACGAUCAAGUUUUGACAAAGUUCCCAUCGCAUCGCAUUCACGCACAAGAUAGCUGAGCAGAAACCACACACGUAUGUAAUUAUAAGAACUAUUGACUUCCAUCUCCAGGUUGGGGAGGAGAUCUUUCCCCCAAGUGGAGGAGUUCAAGUACCUCGGAGUCUUGUUCACGAGUGAGGGAAGAGUGGAUCGUGAGAUCGACAGGCGGAUCGGUGCGGCGUCUUCAGUAAUGCGGACGCUGUAUCGAUCCGUUGUGGUGAAGAAGGAGCUGAGCCGGAAGGCAAAGCUCUCAAUUUACCGGUCGAUCUACGUUCCCAUCCUCACCUAUGGUCAUGAGCUUUGGGUUAUGACCGAAAGGACAAGAUCACGGGUACAAGCGGCCGAAAUGAGUUUCCUCCGCCGGGUGGCGGGUCUCUCCCUUAGAGAUAGGGUGAGAAGCUCUGCCAUCCGGGAGGAGCUCAAAGUAAAGCCACCAAGGAGCCAGAUGAGGUGGUUCGGGCAUCUGCUCAGGAUGCCACCCGAACGCCUCCCUAGGGAGGUGUUUAGGGCACGUCCGACCGGUAUGAGGCCAAGUGGAAGACCCAGGACACGUUGGGGAAACUAUGUCUCCCGGCUGGCCUGGGAAAGACUCAGGAUUCCCCGGGAGGAGCUGGACGAAGUGGCUGGGGAGAGGGAAGUGUGGGCUUCUCUGCGACCCGACCUCGGAUAAGCGGAAGAAAAUGGAUGGAUGGAUGGAUGGACUUUCAUAGUCACGACAUUUUUAUCAGGCAUUCAGUCCUUUGCUACUUUGUGUAAAUAUUUCCAUGUUUCGAAUAUUUAUUUUAAAUUGCUAGAGUUAGCUAACGCAGCUCGAGCUAAUAAAUUCCGAUGUCGGACUUGCAGAAAACGGACAUUACUACAAAUUUCGAAGGAUUCAAGUAAAAGUUAAAAUGCCA
Molecule: RNA transcript, 4023 nt
Organism: Entelurus aequoreus (snake pipefish)
Lineage: Eukaryota; Metazoa; Chordata; Actinopteri; Syngnathiformes; Syngnathidae
Gene: rbfox1
Gene name: RNA binding fox-1 homolog 1
Exons: 13
Source: RefSeq, a predicted model, not a curated record